CCCUGUUUCUUUCCAGCAGGAGACUUGCAGAGCUUGGAGAGCUGGGCCAGGAUGGAGAGGAGUGAUAAGCCUUGCUCCUGGAGGAACUGUUGAGCUCGCUGCCUGGAAGACAGGGCACGCGUCCAGGCCCGCCACACGCAGGUUGGCCUCCGCAGCUGGUACAGAGAGAAGUCUGGAAUUUCUGUUUGCUGUCAUCUGUGUUUACUGAGUAGACCUUGUGUUGAUUCUGGGACCCAGUGUGUCCGAGGGUUGUGGACUGAACGAAUACCAGGCGCCAGCCAUACAGUGCUGCUCCCGUACCUCUGACCCCACGACAAAGGAAGAGAGGCCCUGAGCUUGGCAGCUUCUUGGAACGUCUCAGAAGAUCUGGAGUCUAGAAGGAGAGAACAGGUUUGCAAGGAAGAGAUUCUGUUACGAGAAUAGAUCUUCAGACUUUUUUCUACACACAGGAAAGGUAACUGUGUGAGGUGAGGAGUGUAUUACAAUUACCUUAAUUGUGAUCAUCAUUUCACAAUGUGUAUGUAUAUCAAAUUGUAUUGCGCACUUUAAUUCUAUACAAUUUUAACAAUUAAAAAGAAAGCUGGGAAAAAAUACAAAUAAAAUGUCAAGCAGAUCCCUUGAUGGGUGGUUC
Molecule: long non-coding RNA, 631 nt
Filed under: Neogale vison (American mink)
Lineage: Eukaryota; Metazoa; Chordata; Mammalia; Carnivora; Mustelidae
Description: Neovison vison (American mink) lncRNA (ENSNVIG00000022441.1)
Source: RNAcentral